AUAGAUUUUAUUUAUUAAUUUUAUUUAUUUAUUUAAUUUAUUUAAUAAAAAUAAUUUUAAAAUUUUAAGUUUAAGUAUUUUAUAAAGAAAAAAUAAUUUUAAUUAUAGUUUAUUUGUAUUGUGAAAGAAAAUUGAAAUAAUUUGAAAAAUUUUUAUUUUAAAAGAAAAUUUAAUUUAUUGUACCUUGUGUAUCAGGGUUUAUUAAAUAAAAAAUUAUUAUAUUAAUUUUUCUCGAAUUUUAAAGAUUUAAUUAUAUAUAAAAGUUACUGUGGAAUAAUUAUUUUUAAUAUAUAAUUAGAAAUGAAAUGUUAAUCGUUUUAAAAUAUAUCUAGUUUUUUAAGAAAUAAAUUUAAUUUAGAUUUAUAAAUUUAAAUUAUUUAAUUAUUUUAAAUAAUUUAUUUUAUAAAAUUAAUAUUUUAAGGGAUUAGCUUUAAAAUAAAUUUUUAAAUUUUAAAUUAAUUAUUUAAUAAAUAUAAGCUUAAAAAUAGCUAUUAUUAAUAAAUUUGUUAUAAUUUAUUUUAAAAAUUUAAUUAUUUAAUAUAAAAUUAAAUUAUUUAUUAAAAUAUAAAUUUUAAUAAUAAAAAUUUAUAAAUUAUGAUAAAAUUAGUAUAUAAAAUUUUUAUAAAUAAUUAUUUAUGAAAGGUUUAAAUAAGGAAUUCGGCAAAAUAUAUAUUCACCUGUUUAUCAAAAACAUGUCUUUUUGAAUUAAAUUUAAAGUCUAACCUGCCCACUGAUAUAAAUUAAAGGGCCGCGGUAUCUUGACUGUGCGAAGGUAGCAUAAUCACUAGUCUUUUAAUUGGAGGCUUGUAUGAAUGGUUGAAUGAGAUAUAUACUGUCUUUUUUAAAAUUAUAUAGAAUUUUAUUUUUUAGUUAAAAAGCUAAAAUAAAAUUAAAGGACGAGAAGACCCUAUAGAUCUUUAUUUUUGUUAUUUAUAAAUUAAAAAGAAUUUUAAAAUUUAUAAUUUAAUAAAAAAUUUUAUUGGGGUGAUAUUAAAAUUUAAAAAACUUUUAAGAUUUAUUAACAUUAAUAUAUGAAUAAAUGAUCCAGUUUUAUUGAUUAAAAAUUUAAGUUACCUUAGGGAUAACAGCGUAAUUUUUUUUUAGAGUUCAUAUCGACAAAAAAGAUUGCGACCUCGAUGUUGGAUUAAGAGUUAUUUUUAGGUGUAGAAGUUUAAAGUUUAGGUCUGUUCGACCUUUGAAUUCUUACAUGAUCUGAGUUCAAACCGGCGUAAGCCAGGUUGGUUUCUAUCCUUAAUUAAUUAUUAUAUUAUAGUACGAAAGGACCUAAUAUAAAAAAUAUAGAUUUUAAUAAUAUGAUUAAUAUUAAUAUUAGAUA
RNAcentral lists this ribosomal RNA (1336 nucleotides) under Culex surinamensis. RNAcentral's name for it is "16S ribosomal RNA". The stretch from base 632 to 1336 matches the Rfam family "Archaeal large subunit ribosomal RNA", at positions 1423 to 2815 of the family's 2987-position model. Lineage: Eukaryota; Metazoa; Arthropoda; Insecta; Diptera; Culicidae. The record is from RNAcentral.